This 433-nucleotide ribosomal RNA is filed under the name Canis lupus familiaris (dog). RNAcentral describes it as "partial 12S ribosomal RNA". It matches the Rfam family "Bacterial small subunit ribosomal RNA", at positions 770 to 1403 of the family's 1533-position model. The record is from RNAcentral. Lineage: Eukaryota; Metazoa; Chordata; Mammalia; Carnivora; Canidae.
AACUGGGAUUAGAUACCCCACUAUGCUUAGCCCUAAACAUAGAUAAUUUUACAACAAAAUAAUUCGCCAGAGGACUACUAGCAAUAGCUUAAAACUCAAAGGACUUGGCGGUGCUUUAUAUCCCUCUAGAGGAGCCUGUUCUAUAAUCGAUAAACCCCGAUAAACCUCACCACCUUUCGCUAAUUCAGUCUAUAUACCGCCAUCUUCAGCAAACCCUCAAAAGGUAGAACAGUAAGCACAAUCAUUUUACAUAAAAAAGUUAGGUCAAGGUGUAACUUAUGAGGUGGGAAGAAAUGGGCUACAUUUUCUACCCAAGAACAUUUCACGAAUGUUUUUAUGAAAUUAAAAACUGAAGGAGGAUUUAGUAGUAAAUUAAGAAUAGAGAGCUUAAUUGAAUAGGGCCAUGAAGCACGCACACACCGCCCGUCACCCU